Molecule: non-coding RNA, 5187 nt
Organism: Peromyscus maniculatus bairdii (prairie deer mouse)
Lineage: Eukaryota; Metazoa; Chordata; Mammalia; Rodentia; Cricetidae
Source: RefSeq, a predicted model, not a curated record
CCGCGCCUGUGAGUGGCUCUAGGGUGGGCAGUUUGGGACUGUCCUCGACUCUUCAGCAGACCCUCGUUACUCCUGAGCCUGCCCUGCCCUUGAUUAGCACAGCCCAAAUGUAUCCAAAAGGGCAGGACUAAAAUAGGGACAAGCCAGUGCAGGGUUUCAUACUCAGCAGCACUACCCCAUGAUCUACAGGGAACCCAUGUCUCUAGCCUGUACCCCUCCAUGCCCUUCUCUAUGCCUCCAAGGUCUUAUCAGAGCCCUGCUCAGCAUGUCUUAUGAGGCACCUAUCCGUCCUCUUGUUUAGUUAUGGAUAAGGAAUCAUGGGGAGGGCCAUGCCAGGCAAAGCCCAUGGUGCCAUACCCAUACCCUUGGGACCAAUGUCUUCCUGGGUAUUAUAUACUUCUCCCUGCUCCAGGCUAGGGGGAAGUAAUUCUGGACUUAUUUGGAGGUUAGCUACACAUCCAAGCAGUUGUCUUGCUACUCACAGGCUCACAGUGGGAAAUUCACAUGCAACAUCCUUCAGAGCAAAGAACAGCUCCUGGGGCCCUGCCUUGGGCUCGCCUUGCUCUAGGACAGGAGUUCAGGGCUGGAUGUUCAUGUGCUGUAUGCAUGCUUGCUGACCUGCACGUUUCUGUAUCUACAUAUGAACCCAGACACUCCUGGGUGGAAGGUCUUUUCCACAUAGCUACAGGCACCUUUCUUCUGUUUUUAAGGAGGCAGAGACAGCAUCUGAGUGAGCAGGUAGCCACAUACUUCUUUUCCAACACCUAAAACCAGAGAGAACCCCUGCUGUCCCAAUCAACCCUACAAUGUGCACUUGUUAUUUGUGCCUUAGCCUUGUCAUCCCUCGGUCCCCACCAUUCCCUGCCCAGUGCCAACAACAUGUCUUUGCAUCUCACAAAUCCAGGGGCCAUUAGCCAGGCUGUCAGAUGGCCAGGCAAUUCAAUGAAUAAGUGACCGUCAGGACCCCUGAAGUGUCUGCUCCCUUUCACUGUAUCCCAGCAGGCACACCAGCCCCAUUUUUAUGUAACGUGAUAGUAAAAGCCUGAGAUUGGCCUACCCAUCCACUUCUGUCCAUUCCACAGUAGCUCACCUCUUUCAGAAAGCCAACCUAGCCAAGAACUAUGCUUCGUUCUGGUGGCAGGGAUCAGAUGCCCUGAGAUGGAGCUGUUGACCCUGAGAAGAGCCCACAGGAGCCCAUGAGCCUCUCUGCCUCAACACUCCACUUCAGCCAAAACCAAGUACAUGCUUUGUUCCUGAAUGUCCAGCCUGACCAGAUUGCUCUCCCCAUGCCUAUGCCCUAUCAGGCUGUGCUGGGGGAAAGCCAAGGACAGAAAAAGGGGUGGGGGUCCCUCUACCAAGUGUCUGAGUUUGACAAAAGCUCCAAGUGGCAGCCCAGUAUUUGAGGGUCAGAGAAGAUGCCCUGCGUAGCCUACUAGCCAGUUCUUAACCCUGACAAGGGCUGCCACCGUCAGCUCGAGGCACUGUCCUUGGAUGUCCAGCUGGUAGUUGGAUGAGCCUGAGGAGCCUCUCCCCACGUCAUUCACCUUAUUCCUGCUGCUCAGCCUGUACAGUUAUGGCCUUGCCAAGAGUCCAUUUAUCCUCAGAGUAGUUUUGAGAGUGUGGUACUAACACAUUGCUGACCUUAUACUUACUGAACCUCCCAGAGGCCAGGGAGUUCCUUAGUAUAGAGAGAAGCAGCCAGGCCCCUCAAAGCCAGGAUAGCAAACUCCAGAGACUUAGAGAUACCAAUGCCCCACUGCAAGGACAGGUAUCUGGUUUGGAAGGUGUAUGAUUGAUGCUAUCUAGCUUGUGAGAGACCAGUUUCCCAUUUCUGCUCCAUGGUGUUAAAUACUAAAAAAAUGUACAAGGGGCAGAUCACAAAAUACAGCUAAGUGGGAGGGUUAAGGUCUAGGGCUAAGUAAUUCAGCAGGGCUAGCUCUGGGUCCCAAUAUCUCUCUGUCACUUUUAAAAUAGCCAGAAGAGCAAAUUGAAAUAUUCCUGAUCCCAGAGAAGUGCCCGAAGUGAUGGUACUCCUCUCCCUUGACUCGAUGACCACACAUUAUACAUGUGUCAGAACAGCACACCAGACGCACAGAUGCCCCCACAACUCCGGAACAGCCUCAGCCUCACCUUCUAGACAAGGCGGUGAUUGUGAAUGAAGUGGAAGUCAACUCCAAGCCCAGCAAGAACUUGGCCAGGAGCUCUGAGGCAGAGACCAUGCACCUGUCCCCCAGCCUCCUCCCCGCGCAGCAGCCUACCAUCUCCUUGCUCUACGAGGACAGUGCUGACACACUAAGUGUUGAGUCGCUGACCCUUGUGCCCCCAGUCGAUCCCCACAGCCUCCGAGCCCUCACUGGCGUCCCCCAGCUCCCCGCACUGGCCACAGCAGGCACAGAGACCCCAGAUGAGGAUACUGCAUACCCAGAGCCUGCAAGUCCUGCAGAGCACUGAGUGGGCACCCGGGGACCUCCCUUUGUGUGUGUGGCCUGCCGGCAGGGACUCCAGUGCAGUCUGUGACAGCAGGACACAUCAGGAGCACCCACAGUUCUCCAUGGCCUUGGAAACUGUCCCUGACACCUCUUGCUGCAAGACAGCCAUGGACCAUUGGAGUUUCUCAUUUGCUCUGACCUCUUCCUGAGCAGGCUGUGUGUACAAAUCUCAGAGACAGCCUCCUGUGUACAAAUGACGGCAUUGGCCAGCUCAGAGGGGUCCGGGGCCAUCUCUGAUCCUGACAGCCCCAGGGGCACCCUCCUUCAGGCAGCUCCUUGUCUUCACUCCCAGUGUGCACGCAAGUGGACCAGGUUACUGUGGUAGCACUCCAUAGAGAUGCACCUGGGUAAACGUCUCUUUGGGGCUAUUUAUUUCUGGUUUUGGCAACAGGUGAAGAGAUUUACUUAAAAAGAGUAUUUGGGGGAGGGGCAAAAAGAAAAAGUCCUCAAACCCUAAGACUUGGUGUCACAUAAGAAGUGUCAGCCGUUAGGUUCCCCUUGUGUAGAACUUGUCUGUGUUUUUAUUCUGAAGUUGCGGCUGUCACUUCCUCUCUUCCUGAAUGAUACUUGUUUCUCUGUCUCAAUCCUACAAGUCUGUGGGAUGAUAAAGUCUCUCCCUGAAACAUUCAGAUACUUCUGAACAAAAAGAGACCUGAGCCCUCUCAGGCCAUAUGGAGCAAGAAGGCCAACUUCUGUGCUAUCAUGUGACCUGGGUGACAUCUGCUCCCUGCUCAGGACACCACAUCGGCACGGCUUCCAGCAGGCUUGCUACCCUCUCUCUUCAUCUAAGAAAGAUCCAUUGGGACCAUGGAGGUCCUAGCCCACGUGGCUAUGACAGGAGUCAAAGGCACAGGAAGUCAUCCUCAGAUGUAACCAGCUUCCCAGUAUGCAGAUGGAUGCCCAACCAGAGGCCCAGCUGCAAAUCAGAUGACCCAAAAGCAGAAUCUUCCUCCACUGUCUGUUUCUGCCACUACCACACAGCUUGUUUCGGUAUGAAAAUCCCAUUCUUCUAGGCAUGUGCCAGCAAAACCCAUAUCUUCCUGUCAGCCCCCAGCCUGCCUUUGCACGCAGCCAGCCAGCCACGAUUCAUGGCUCUAUGGGAAGGCCUUCGGUGGCUUUCCUGCCGAUGUGGCCUCACCCAGUGUCGGCGUCCCCUUGUGGGAGGCACGUCACCAUCUGCACACCCCAAGUCCUUGCCACCCUGUUCGGCUCUCACCUCCUGCAGCCCCGUGCUCCCCAGGAGGGACUGGUGUCCAUGUGCACUGGCUUCUCCAGUUUUUAAAAGCACUCUGGUGGGCGUGCCCAGAGGCAGAAGCUCCUACAGCCUGCCAAGAAAGGCUGUCCCAGGAGGUUUAGCAGAGCCCCUGGAAAGGGAGAUGAGUGAUGGCACUGAAAAGAGGGGCUCUCUGGGCCCCCACAGCCAGCCCUGGGUAUUCCUUGGUCAUUCGCGGGGAGGGCUAGACAGAGGAGCAGGCACUUUGGGGUUCGAGAUGACAGUUGCUAGGACAGCAUAAAUGUUAUAAAAUGCAAGUGACUCUCCUCCUCCCUGCAGUGCGGUCAUGAGAGAAAUGCCUGCAGCCACCCCAACCCACCCAUGCAGGUGGGCUCCCCCUCUGUGACUAGCCUCUUCUCUGCACUCAGGAGGUUCCAAGGAAGGGGAAAGGUUAUGACCAAGGUGGUCAGCAAACACUGAAAGGACAGCUGCCAUGUAAUAUUCACCAAGGACAAGCCUGUUCCCCCACAGCUUGGAAGAUUGUCCCCAAAGGCUUCCUGUAGCCAGGCACCCAGGGGUACCUCCAGGUGAGCAAAUGGGAACUUCCUGUGAGCGGAGCUCCUUGGCCCAUUGCUGAUGAGGUCCUGGAGGAAGCAGCUAGCAGUUUCCUCACCUAGCUCUUGGUGGCAAUGGGCACAACCCAAUCCUCAGGAACACCCUACUAACUUGCCAGCUGCUCCCCAGGCAGACCCAGCCAGAAAGAACACAUUAGGUCUCCCCGGUCAGCAGGGAGGUAGAACUGAGAGGUACCAGGCCCAGAAGGGCACAGAGCUGACCUGGAGGUCCCAGAGUCAGCCUUCAAAACCAUUAGCCUUGUCUCUAAGGCCAUGCGCACCAUGCCUGCCCUGGUCUCUCUCCCUUCUGUCACCGGGCCUCCAUCUCUGCUUUGACUAUCACCAUAGAGAAACACAGCACCGCCCCGACCUGUUUGGAGGCGGGGCAUCAGGACCCUUCCCCCAGCUCAGACUCAGUGUAGUGGUGAGCUCCCUGUCUGGUGGAGGUGGUGGAAGAGGCCCCCAGAGCCGACCCUCUGCUAUUGCAGCCAGCCUAGCACCCUCCCAGAAACUUGCAUUGCCAGGGCUGGAUGACUGCAUCCCUCCCAAGGACAGCACUGGCUUUCUCUGUGGCCUCUGACACGCACAGCUGUAAAUAAGGCACGGGUAAACCAGGUCUGGUCUUUUGUAGAUGCAAUAAAUAUAUUUCACGCAGUACCAUGGGUAGAAGGUUAAAUGCGUCCUCUCUCCCUCCCUCCCUCCGCUGAAGCUGUGAAGAACUGUUGCAAAGUGGGGCAGGCCUGGGAAGCUCUGGCCAGGGAAGUGCCUGCUUCUGCCAGCAGGAUUUAGACUUUGGGGGCUGAGCCCAAGGGAGCCUCGAAAGCUAGAACUUCCUUGUAAAUUGGAACUUGGCAAUAAAAAGCAAAACCAA